GUUGGGACACAGAAGUUUGCCUGAGGACCAGCCCCAAGGGCUACAUGCGGUCUCUGAGGUUGGACAGAAGAGCACACCGGGAGACACCAGAAAAGGGGACUUUCAAUCUCAGAGCCGUCCUCUGAGGGCCAAACACAUGCUGAAUGUAGGACAAACCCGAGGAUUUUAUCAGAAUGAGGUCCCGCCUGCUGACCUGGAGCUUCAAGACAGGCAAUGUCGCCAAACUGCUCCAGUUAGACAGUAACAUAGCCACUGGCUGUGACUUCAGCCCUGUUGACUUCUGGAUUUUCCCAAGCGGCCAUGUUCCUCAAGUCCAGUGUAGAGGACUACAGGUGGGAGAAAGGCAGUCAGCAGCGGUCCACAGACGGGAACCCAGGGCGCCUGGCAAGAAGAAGCCAGCCCCUGCAGACUAGCUGAGAGACAGGUAUGGCAUGCGUGUAAACAACAGCUGACAGCCAAACUGACGCAAUUUCCUGCCCUGGAUUCUAAUAGAAUGAGCAUUUGACCAGCUUUCUGAAAUCCCUGCCCUGCACUUCAGAAAAACACGCUGGACUUCCGUUAUUAGCUAAAACCACAGCUCCUUGGCUGGACUGAAGUUGUACUUCUCCAUUCUCUCUGCGGGGGUUGGACCAACGAUUGCCCAAGUGUCCUCUACCACCAAUGGUUUAAGAUUUUAUCAUCCGCUUUUAGGCCUGUCUACCCCACCAUAAUGCAGCACCAGAUAGGUUUACUCCUUAGUUGUCCUUGAACCACUGACCUUUCUCUGCCCUGUAGACUGCCAGAGCUGGAGGCCUCAGACCCGGGGGUACGUGGGAGCCGGCCCGUGCUGGCUUGCGCUUGUUUAGAGAGUUGAUUGUAAAACUUUCAAGAAUUUCACAAGCUGGUUCUUAAACACAGUCAUAAUUCAAAAUCAACUAUGUAAA
Molecule: long non-coding RNA, 923 nt
Organism: Microcebus murinus (gray mouse lemur)
Lineage: Eukaryota; Metazoa; Chordata; Mammalia; Primates; Cheirogaleidae
Source: RefSeq, a predicted model, not a curated record